Molecule: transfer RNA, 73 nt
Filed under: Microbacterium aquilitoris
Lineage: Bacteria; Bacillati; Actinomycetota; Actinomycetes; Micrococcales; Microbacteriaceae
Description: tRNA-Arg
Rfam family: tRNA
About the family: Transfer RNA (tRNA) molecules are approximately 80 nucleotides in length. Their secondary structure includes four short double-helical elements and three loops (D, anti-codon, and T loops).
Source: RNAcentral
CCCUCCGUAGCUCAGUGGAUAGAGCAGGCGCUUUCUAAGCGACAGGUCGCAGGUUCGAACCCUGCCGGCGGGA